CACACAAUCACCUUUCAUUCACUAACGCUCACAUUUUAGGUGCUUUUCCUUCUUACAUAAUAAAAUAGCAAAGCACAUAGGCCUGGGGUCCCUGGGGAAAGCCAAGUCUGCCUGGCUGCCUUGAGAACUCUGGACUGGAUUUGACAUGGAGGAGUUGGGGAUUGUUGCUCAGGGAUCAGAACAGUGAAACUCAGGUUAAUGAGUAAAGAGUGAGAAUAUGUGUUUGUAUGUUUCUUAAUCCCAUCUACUAGGUGAUUACAAAACUCAUUCAAAGUUGAACACAGUAGAGGUAUUUCAAGUUGCUUUAGAGAGAGAAUUACACACACACAAAAAAUCUUUAGGAGCCAGACAACCACUGUGGACACCAAUAAGAGAGCUCCAACAUUGGUGAGGUAUAGACCCGUCAAAGUUGUUGGUAAUAACAGCAAGGUCCAUCUGGCAAGAUUGGUCACCUGUGGUGGAAGUGGUGGUGACAGCAGGGAUGCAACUGCAGCAAUCAAUGAUGAUGAUCUCACUAGGGUGGGGAGGUGUUAAAGGCAUCUUCACAGCAGCACAGUGCCCAGAAUGCCAAAGAGCAGCAGGAUGGAUCCAGCAUCCUCUCCUGAUAAAAGAGGGCUAGAAGACGGGAGGCUCCGGGAAGUCUACUGGAGUCAUGAAGACACUGAAAAGUGAUGAAUCCACAUAACCAUGACACUGGAAAUGAAGUUUGAGUGGCAGUCAGAAUCUGGGAGGAAGCAUUGCUAAGUGAAAAUCUUAUGGAGCUUGACUAAAAAUCCCUGUCAGGAACCGUCAAAAGCUGUGUCCCUGACAUGAAAAAUCUUGCUGGAAGUUGAGAGAGGUUUAUGCCUACUCCGUGAUCCGGGAACACAAGACCUUUACCAACCAAAAAAGUGGAUAGCUGUUCUUCUGCUGUGAAGGUUAAUAAAGGGAUGGAAAACAAACUGAAACUGGCUCAAGUGAAUGCUCACUGGAAGGCUUACUGGAAAACUUACUGGAAGGAUGUGAGGACAUGUUCGGGAAUCUAUUUGCAGAAAACAUAUUCAGCCCUGUCCACCACAGCCAGCUGGCUGAAGAGCUCAAAAGGCAAGAAAUCAGCAAGAGAGAGAGAUGAAGCAUGAGAAAUGAGCAAAAAACACCCAGCACAUCAUAAUCUUGGACAGUUUAGCAGUACAUGAAAAUAGAUGGUCCUCGCCCCAAGGGACUGCAGUAACCCUGAAUAAACAGGAUGUCUCUCACUUUUAGCAGUUCUUUCUGUGCUAGUAUUGGGGAAAUAUAUUUUUGGCUGCAUGCAAAAUGGUAAAAGACAUCUAUUAAGAAAAUGAAAACAAUGCUUCUGUUUUAGACGAAGCUUUUGAAGGUUUAAGGAUCACCUAUUUAUUGACAAAAUUGUUUCCGUGGCUUAAAAAUAAAAUACAAACAAAUACUACAGGUAUUCUUGCCUUCUCAUUCUACUUAAAAUCACAUUUCCAAAGACUUUCUUCUCUACUUAAAAACAGGAAUUAAGAAAUACUCAAAAGAGAUCCUAGACAAAACUAACAUUUCAGCAACCAAAGAUAAAUCAUGCUUUUAGAGGAAGAUGCUAGGUUCUAGAAUCUCUCUGAACACCGUGUAGCACUAAGAAACUACAAUCACUGGCUGAGACCUUGAUCAAAUAAUGGCUAACAUAUAAGAUGCUUAUUCUAGUCAGGCACACUUCUAAGAGCUGUAUAUCUGCUAAUUCAUUUAUUCUCCUAGGAUAUAAAGGAUCAGCAGAUCCUUCAGGCUCUGGUAUGUUCUGAGAUGAGUUAACCCAGAAAUUGUCAUCAAAAGACAGAUUCAGCAAAACGGAAA
This 1830-nucleotide long non-coding RNA is filed under the name Homo sapiens (human). RNAcentral describes it as "HSALNT0107356". The record is from RNAcentral. Lineage: Eukaryota; Metazoa; Chordata; Mammalia; Primates; Hominidae.